This 548-nucleotide ribosomal RNA is filed under the name Mytilaster solisianus. RNAcentral's name for it is "partial large subunit ribosomal RNA". It matches the Rfam family "Bacterial large subunit ribosomal RNA", at positions 1814 to 2602 of the family's 2925-position model. The record is from RNAcentral. Lineage: Eukaryota; Metazoa; Mollusca; Bivalvia; Mytilida; Mytilidae.
CAUUUCCUCUUGUAAUCAUGGGAGGUAGGCCCUGCCCGGUGCGAAAGUAAACGGCGGCCUUAGCGUGAGGGUCCUAAGGUAGCAUGAUAAGUCGGCCUUUAAUUGGGGUCUGGUAUGAAUGGGUUAACGUUGGAUAAGCUGUGUCAUAGAGAACUACUGAAAUUAAUUUUUAAGUGAAGAAGCUUUAAUGAAAAAAAAAGACGACAAGACCCUACGAAGCUUUAUCGUAGUUGUAUAUCAAUUCCGGCCCUACGGGCAACCUUCGACCCUUUGGGAAUCGUUGGUUCGGUAGAGUUAUAGGGUUCAUAUACAAAAUGAUUUUGUUGGGAGAACAGAGCGGAAAAUGUCCUGCUUAGACUAUAAAUUUACUUACUAGUAGCAACUAUUAUUAAUCUAUGGAAUGGCAAGCUACUCUAGGGAUAACAGCGCGAUCUUCUUUGAGAGCACGAAUUGAAAAGAAAGUUUGCGACCUCGAUGUUGGCUUUGGGUUACCUGAAGGUGAAGAGGCUUUCAAGCGUGGGUCUGUUCGACCUUUAAUUCCCAACGUG